GCGACCCCAGGAUGGGCGAGGCCACCUGCUGAGUUUAAGCAUAUCAAUAAGCGGAGGAAAAGAAACUUACGAGGAUUCCCCUAGUAACGGCGAGCGAACCGGGAUAGGCCCAGCAUUGGAAUCGGGCUGCCAUGUAGCAGCUCGAAUUGUAGUCUGGAGAAGCGUCCUCAGCGACGGACCGGGCCCAAG
This 189-nucleotide ribosomal RNA is filed under the name Dendrobium officinale. RNAcentral describes it as "partial 26S ribosomal RNA". It matches the Rfam family "Eukaryotic large subunit ribosomal RNA", at positions 1 to 185 of the family's 3401-position model. Lineage: Eukaryota; Viridiplantae; Streptophyta; Magnoliopsida; Asparagales; Orchidaceae. The record is from RNAcentral.